This 106-nucleotide small nuclear RNA is filed under the name Vulpes vulpes (red fox). Lineage: Eukaryota; Metazoa; Chordata; Mammalia; Carnivora; Canidae. The record is from RNAcentral.
GUGCUUGCUUUGCAGCACAUAUGCUAAAAUUGGAACCAUAUAGAGAAGAUUAGCAUGGCCCCUGCACAAGGAUGACAUGCAAAUUCAUGAAGCAUUCCAUAUUUUG